CUUGGUCAUUUAGAGGAAGUAAAAGUCGUAACAAGGUCUCCGUAGGUGAACCUGCGGAGGGAUCAUUACACAAUAUGAAAGCGGGCUGGAUACUCUGUAGUAGUGCAUUGCUUUACGGCGUGCGCUGCUGGAGAGCCUAGCCUUGCUGAAUUAUUCACCCGUGUCUUUUGCGUACUUCUUGUUUCCUUGGUGGGCUCGCCCGCCACAAGGACAACUCAUAAACCUUUUGUAAUAGCAAUCAGCGUCAGUAACAACAUAAUAAUUACAACUUUCAACAACGGAUCUCUUGGUUCUGGCAUCGAUGAAGAACGCAGCGAAAUGCGAUACGUAGUGUGAAUUGCAGAAUUCAGUGAAUCAUCGAAUCUUUGAACGCACAUUGCGCCCUUUGGUAUUCCAAAGGGCAUGCCUGUUCGAGCGUCAUUUGUACCCUCAAGCUUUGCUUGGUGUUGGGCGUCUUGUCUCCAGUCCGCUGGAGACUCGCCUUAAAGUCAUUGGCAGCCGGCCUACUGGUUUCGGAGCGCAGCACAAGUCGCACUCUUUUCCAGCCAAGGUCAGCGUCCAACAAGCCUUUUUUCAACUUUUGACCUCGGAUCAGGUAGGGAUACCCGCUGAACUUAAGCAUAUCAAUAAGCGGAGGGAA
RNAcentral lists this ribosomal RNA (640 nucleotides) under fungal sp. MG219NL3L6x. RNAcentral describes it as "eukaryotic LSU rRNA". The stretch from base 267 to 420 matches the Rfam family "5.8S ribosomal RNA". Lineage: Eukaryota; Fungi. The record is from RNAcentral.